GGUUCUCAUAGUGGUGGAAGUGUAUUGACCGUGAAUACACGGGAGAGUAUAUCUACAUCCUCAUCAUAUGAUGAUGAGGAAGUGGUGUUUAGGGUUAAUUCCAUAGCUGCAGGAGAGGAUGACAACUGGGAUCUCAUCGCUUGUGCAAGAAACCGGUCGUGGCACCAACGAUUCCCCUAUGUCUUUCCAACCAAAGAGAUCGAAGACUUGCUGCAAAAAGUAGUACAUCAGCUGUUGAAUCUGUCACAGACCUUCAGGCAAGAACACCACCCUCUCCCAAAUCCGGUAGCGCCUGAGACCGGGGGCGCUAGCACUAAAGCUGGCAAGCGCGGCGGCGGCGGCAGCGCGAAGCCGCCGGCGACGAAGAAGAGGAGAAGCAAGCACGGGUUCCUGGGUGUCCACCAGCGCACGUACGGGCACCUCCCUCCGCUGCCGCUGGCGCCGGCGCCCGUGGUGAUGCCCUAUGCAGCUCCACCAAAGCGGCCAAAGAAAUGCAACACCGCCAUGGCACCGCCGCAAGCCGUGGAUACUCCGGCGGCGGCAUCAGGUGGCGUGGAGUUGACAAGCCUACUAUAUAUGCAGCGUGGCGGCGCAGGCGCAGGAGCGACGUAUGGGUGGGAGUUCAUCCAGGAGCUCCUCCUCCUCCUCGGCGGCGGCGUUCCGCCGCUGGACUACCCCAACGGCCAGGAGCUCAUCCUUGUCAUCGCCACCGUGUCACCCCUCCACCCAACCGAGUGCCGCCAUUGGCAUUCCCUUCCGUAG
Molecule: long non-coding RNA, 762 nt
Filed under: Oryza sativa aus subgroup
Lineage: Eukaryota; Viridiplantae; Streptophyta; Magnoliopsida; Poales; Poaceae
Description: lncRNA OsN22_04G008600
Source: RNAcentral